CCUACGGGUGGCAGCAGUGAGGAAUAUUGGUCAAUGGACGCAAGUCUGAACCAGCCAUGCCGCGUGCAGGAAGACGGCUCUAUGAGUUGUAACCUGCUUUUGUACGAGGGUAAACGCAGAUACGCGUAUCUGUCUGACAGCAUCGUACGACUAAGGAUCGGCUAACUCCGUGCCAGCAGCCGCAGUAAUACCGGGGAUGCAAGCGUUAUCCGGAUUUAUUGGGUUUCAAGGGUGCGUAGGCUGUGAGGUAAGUCAGCGUGGAAAUGCCUCCGGUUAACGGGGUGAAGUGCAAGUGAUACUGCCGGGCUUGAAUGCGGAUGCGGCAGGAGGAAUGUGUGGUGUAGCGGUGAAAUGCAUAGAUAUCACACAGAACACCGAUUGCGAAGGCAUCUUACGAAUCCGCGAUUGACGCUGAUGCACGAAAGCGUGGGUAGCAAACAGGAUUAGAUACCCGAGUAGUC
This 461-nucleotide ribosomal RNA is filed under the name uncultured bacterium. RNAcentral's name for it is "partial 16S ribosomal RNA". It matches the Rfam family "Bacterial small subunit ribosomal RNA", at positions 338 to 795 of the family's 1533-position model. The record is from RNAcentral.